Molecule: ribosomal RNA, 194 nt
Filed under: uncultured bacterium
Lineage: Bacteria
Description: partial 16S ribosomal RNA
Rfam family: Bacterial small subunit ribosomal RNA
Source: RNAcentral
CCUACGGGUGGCAGCAGUGGGGAAUAUUGGACAAUGGGGGCAACCCUGAUCCACCCAUGCCGCGUGUGUGAAGAAGGCCUUCGGGUUGUAAAGCACUUUUGUUGGGGAAGAAACCGGCCGGGUUAAUACCCUGGUUGAAUGACGGUACCCAAAGAAUAAGCACCGGCUAACUUCGUGCCAGCAGCCGCGGUAAU